RNAcentral lists this ribosomal RNA (337 nucleotides) under Escherichia coli. RNAcentral's name for it is "partial 23S ribosomal RNA". It matches the Rfam family "Bacterial large subunit ribosomal RNA", at positions 1555 to 1873 of the family's 2925-position model. The record is from RNAcentral. Lineage: Bacteria; Pseudomonadati; Pseudomonadota; Gammaproteobacteria; Enterobacterales; Enterobacteriaceae.
GCUGAGGCGUGAUGACGAGGCACUACGGUGCUGAAGCAACAAAUGCCCUGCUUCCAGGAAAAGCCUCUAAGCAUCAGGUAACAUCAAAUCGUACCCCAAACCGACACAGGUGGUCAGGUAGAGAAUACCAAGGCGCUUGAGAGAACUCGGGUGAAGGAACUAGGCAAAAUGGUGCCGUAACUUCGGGAGAAGGCACGCUGAUAUGUAGGUGAGGUCCCUCGCGGAUGGAGCUGAAAUCAGUCGAAGAUACCAGCUGGCUGCAACUGUUUAUUAAAAACACAGCACUGUGCAAACACGAAAGUGGACGUAUACGGUGUGACGCCUGCCCGGUGCCGGA